GAUGAACGCUGGCGGCGUGCCUAAUACAUGCAAGUCGAGCGAACGGACGAGAAGCUUGCUUCUCUGAUGUUAGCGGCGGACGGGUGAGUAACACGUGGAUAACCUACCUAUAAGACUGGGAUAACUUCGGGAAACCGGAGCUAAUACCGGAUAAUAUUUUGAACCGCAUGGUUCAAAAGUGAAAGACGGUCUUGCUGUCACUUAUAGAUGGAUCCGCGCUGCAUUAGCUAGUUGGUAAGGUAACGGCUUACCAAGGCAACGAUGCAUAGCCGACCUGAGAGGGUGAUCGGACACACUGUAACUGAGACACGGUCCACACUCCGACGGUGGGCAGCAGUAGGGAAUCUUCCGCAAUGGGCGAGAGCCUGACGGAGCAACGCCGCGUGAGUGAUGAAGGUCUUCUGAUCGGAAAACUCUGUUAUUGUGGAAGAACAUAUGUGUAAGUACCUGUGCACAUCUUGACGGUACCUAAUCAGAAAGCUACGGCUAACUACGUG
Molecule: ribosomal RNA, 497 nt
Filed under: uncultured bacterium
Lineage: Bacteria
Description: partial 16S ribosomal RNA
Rfam family: Bacterial small subunit ribosomal RNA
Source: RNAcentral